Molecule: ribosomal RNA, 801 nt
Filed under: Providencia vermicola
Lineage: Bacteria; Pseudomonadati; Pseudomonadota; Gammaproteobacteria; Enterobacterales; Morganellaceae
Description: partial 16S ribosomal RNA
Rfam family: Bacterial small subunit ribosomal RNA
Source: RNAcentral
GGAAAUGCGGAGAGAUGUGAAGAAAUACCGGUGGCGAAGGGCGGCCCCCUGGACAAAGACUGACGCUCAGGUGCGAAAGCGUGGGGAGCCAACCAGGAUUAGAUAACCCUGGUAGUGCACCCCUGUAAAAAGAUGUUGAUUUUGAGGUUGUGCCCCUGAGGCGUGGCUCCCGGAGAUAACGCGUUAAAUAGACCGCCUUGGGGAGUAACGGCCCCCAAGGUUAAAAAUUCAAAAUGAAAUUACGGGGGGCCCCCACCAAAGGGGGGAGCAUGUGGGUUUUAUUUGGUGCAACGGGAAGAACCUUACCCUACUUUUUGACAUCCCCAGGAAAUUUGGAAAAGAAGCGUUGGGGCCUUUGGGGGAAUUUUUAGAACAGGGGGUGCCAGGGGGUUUGUUAACUUCUUUUUUUGAAAUGUUUGGGUUAAUUCCCCCAAAAAAGGGCAAACCUUUUCCUUUUUUUCCAAGCGAUUGGUUGUGGAAAUUCAAAAGGAGUCCCCUGUUAUAAACCGGAGGAAGGGGGGGGGGAUGUAAUGUUAUCAUGCCCCUUAAGAGUGGGGAUACACACGUUAUACAAGGGUGUACAAAAAGAGAAGAGACCUUGCGAGAGCAAGGGGAAUUCAUAAAGUACGUCGUAGUCCGGAUUGGAGUCUGAAACUCGACUCCAUGAAGUCGGAAUCGCUAGUAAUUGUAGAUCAGAAUGAUAGGGUAAACACGUCCCGGGCGUUGUACCAACGGCCCGUCAGAUGUGAGGAGGGGCCCUAAAGUAUGACCCUUGGUUCUAACUUAGUUUGUAACCAAGUU